UGGUUGCUGGGGAGGGAGGGGACUCAGGUAUUCGUGGAGAUCUUUCUUGACCAUAGAACCGCUUGGUUGACAACUGUGUAUUGUUUAUUUCACGAUGAGGACCAUCUUGUAGGUUUUUAAGACAACGUUAUAAACUCCAAGGAUAAACCCAGUGGUCACCUGGAGUAGCUGGUGCGUUAAAUAGGUAGUUAUGUUGAGCCAUUUGUUGUUUGCAAAUUGAGUAACAUUCUGUUGUAUGAAAAUCAAACUGGUGAACUUUUGAUCAGAGACCUAGACUUAGGGACAGCUCGUGUUUAUCCCUGUGUUAAUUUACGAGAAUGGACACAAUGUAGCCGUGUUUAUCCCUGUGUUAACUUACGAGAAUGGACACAAUGUAGCUGUAUUUGUGUAGGGGAGCUGACAGCCUUCUUCCCUGGAUAGAAUUAGGAUCCACACGGGUCUCAUGUCGGCCUCUAGGGAUGUAGCCAAUGAUAUUCAAGUCGGGCUAGAGCCCAAAGCUGUACCGUUUCCAUCAGAGGAAGAUUAUUAAGUUGGUUGGAGCACAAAAAAGUAGGUGGCUUGUUAGAACUUGGAGAUGGAUCUAGGGCUCAGUGUGACCUGUUUGUCCAAGACAGACAGUAGGAGGUUGGAAGGAAGUGUUUGAUUAAAACUCGACAUGAGUCAGAAGGAGUGGGAUAUCGCUGCCAACGUUUAAGGACCAUUCCGUGGCCUGAACGUGGCUGAGGACAUCUCCCAGCCUGCACAUUCCCAUGCCUGCUCCACGGAAAUCCCAUCUCUGUGACCUCCUGGGGAAUUCAACUGCCGCCACCCCAGGCCCCCAGCUCCCGUCACCUCUGACACGGCUUCCGGCCAGGCCUGGAGCUCAUUAGGCUGCUGCCCCCACCACUGGGCUCCCCACUGUCUAGCAGCCCUGAGCGGGGUGGGAACGGCCCUGAGCCAAGAGAAGCGGAUGUAAGACGGAGCAGCCGAGCCCCGAGGUCGCCUCAGAUCCCUACUUGGCUGCAACACAAACGGCCCUCACCCCCGACCGGUCACUUCCUGGUGACUUGGACAACCAGCCGUGAGGCAGAGGGACCACAGGGGCCCAGGCAAAUCGCAUUGUCAUCUAGUCUGGCUGCGUUUCUGUGCUUUGAUUUCAGCUCCCAGCCAGGUGGGAAAGAAGCAAAAAAAGCAAAACUUAAUUAAAGGCUUUGUUUUUAUUUUCAGAAAAUAUCUGGGCAUUGAGGGGAGUAGACAGUAUACUACAGAGAGAGAUCAGAUAGGGCCCCACAUGAUCCUGUGUCCUGAUGGGAAUGUAGGGACCCUGGGAAAGAAGCCGAGCUGCCUGGAGGUCAAAGAAAAGAGUACUAUUUCUAUAACAUGCGUGAAUUUGCAGUAUAGCUUUUCUCAUGCGCUUAUUUUAGACAUUAGGGUGGAGUCACUUCUCCCCUACGUGGCAGCCCCACUCAUGAAACCAUUAAAUACUCUCUUAGUUGCUGAGCCUAGCUUUGUCUCUUAAGCAAAAAGGAAGAUGAAGAAGUUGGAUAAAACCCAGAGACUCACCAUCCCCUAAAAUCAUGAGAAGGGUUCAGUCUCAGUGAAUGCUCAGAAUACAGUGUGAAGCACCACCUUCUGGAUACAUCGUCUCGGUUUGCUCCUGUUUGUGUAACAUGAUGUCUGGGCUCAAACCUGUGUUACAUUGUAUAUGGAAAUAGCAAAAGGAAAGUCAUUCA
This is a long non-coding RNA of Equus caballus (horse), 1712 nucleotides long. RefSeq lists it as uncharacterized. Lineage: Eukaryota; Metazoa; Chordata; Mammalia; Perissodactyla; Equidae. The record is from RefSeq and is a predicted model, not a curated record.